CGGGGUGGAGUAAUGUCUGGGAAACUGCCUGAUGGAGGGGGGUAACUACUGGAAACGGUAGCUAAUACCGCAUAACGUCUUCGGACCAAAGUGGGGGACCUUCGGGCCUCACGCCAUCGGAUGUGCCCAGAUGGGAUUAGCUAGUAGGUGGGGUAAUGGCUCACCUAGGCGACGAUCCCUAGCUGGUCUGAGAGGAUGACCAGCCACACUGGAACUGAGACACGGUCCAG
Molecule: ribosomal RNA, 230 nt
Filed under: uncultured bacterium
Lineage: Bacteria
Description: partial 16S ribosomal RNA
Rfam family: Bacterial small subunit ribosomal RNA
Source: RNAcentral